UGCCUACAUGAAGUUAACAUGCUAGUAAAAUAGUGUCCUAGCUGUAGUGCACACUACUUAAGCAGCAAACCUAGCAACAUUAUCAAAAGUAUGCGCCCCCCCGACCCUCACACCCACGUGUUCAUGUUGAAGGUUCCAGAUUUAUUCUCUGUACUGUUCUAAUCAGCUCCACUCUUGUCUCCCGUGAAGGUUCUUCACUAGAUGUUGGAUUGUGUCUGUGGAGAUUAGUGAUGGUUCAGUGGUGUUGAGUCAGAGUCGUGUUCUUCACGUUAACCUUCACCUCCACGUCAUGUCUUCAUGGAGCUGCUUUGUGCACGUUGUCAUCAUGGAGCAGGGUUUGGAUUCUGAGUUCUACUGAAAUCAUCUGUACAAAGUUACACAGAGACGUUCUGUACGACUGUGUGGAAAAGUUUGGGGAACAAACACAUGGAACUGAUGGUCAGGGGGCACAAACUUUUGUCAGUACAGUUUAUUAAUAAAUAAAUUAUGCAAUUAAUUGUAGAAUUUGAUCAAUUUUGAAGAUAUUGUUACAGUUUCAGGGAUGCUAAUGCUAACUAACAAACAUGCUCUGUAUGGUAUUCUCUAUACUUUAGUGAGUAAAACCACACACACACACACACACACACACACACACACACACACACACACACGCGCGCGCGCGCACACACACACACACACACCUGCUGCUUACACUGCACAUGUCUGAUCUGGUGUUUUUAACCUGAUCUCUGAUUCGCCACAUGCUAAUGCAGCUCUAAAGCAGGACAGUGUGAGCAUUUAGUGUUUAUGAGGUGUGUGUGUGUGUGUGUGUGUGUGUGUGUGUGUGUGUGUGUGUGUGUGUGUGUGUGUGUGUGUGUGUGUGUGUGUGUGUGUGUGUGUUAAAUACACUAUUAAAGCACAAAGGCUUAUUAGAGAUGCAGUUAAGUUUAAAAAAAUAAUUGUUAAAAACUAUUUUAAGAA
Molecule: long non-coding RNA, 960 nt
Organism: Tachysurus fulvidraco (yellow catfish)
Lineage: Eukaryota; Metazoa; Chordata; Actinopteri; Siluriformes; Bagridae
Exons: 2
Source: RefSeq, a predicted model, not a curated record